This 496-nucleotide ribosomal RNA is filed under the name uncultured bacterium. RNAcentral describes it as "partial 16S ribosomal RNA". It matches the Rfam family "Bacterial small subunit ribosomal RNA", at positions 29 to 507 of the family's 1533-position model. The record is from RNAcentral.
AUGAACGCUGGCGGCGUGCCUAAUACCUGCAAGUCGCGCGCACGGACGAGAAGCUUGCUUCUCUGAUGUUAGCGGCGGACGGGUGAGUAACACGUGGAUAACCUACCUAUAAGACUGGGAUAACUUCGGGAAACCGGAGCUAAUACCGGAUAAUAUUUUGAACCGCAUGGUUCAAAAGUGAAAGACGGUCUUGCUGUCGCUUAUAGAUGGAUCCGCGCUGCAUUAGCUAGUUGGUAAGGUAACGGCUUACCAAGGCAACGAUGCAUAGCCGACCUGAGAGGGUGAUCGGCCACACUGGAACUGAGACACGGUCCAGACUCCUACGGGAGGCAGCAGUAGGGAAUCUUCCGCAAUGGGCGAAAGCCUGACGGAGCAACGCCGCGUGAGUGAUGAAGGUCUUCGGAUCGUAAAACUCUGUUAUUAGGGAAGAACAUAUGUGUAAGUAACUGCGCACAUCUUGACGGUACCUAAUCAGAAAGCCACGGCUAACUACGUG